Molecule: long non-coding RNA, 2055 nt
Filed under: Nicotiana tabacum (common tobacco)
Lineage: Eukaryota; Viridiplantae; Streptophyta; Magnoliopsida; Solanales; Solanaceae
Description: long non-coding RNA (NTAB_LNC013151)
Source: RNAcentral
AUAAUUCAUUUCAUUAUCAAAACAUAAUAGAAUUCCUAACUUUAACCAAACGUCAACAUGAUUUCAGAACAUAUGGCUUACUAACAUGGAUUCAUUCUUGUCUAAUUCUAACAUCUAAACAUGAGUAUCUACAGAAUUAAUAGCAAGCAUGCCGAAAAUGUUCAGUCGCCUAAACUCAUAUGGCAACUUCAACAAGCCAUAGUUUAAUCCAGUCCCAAAAUUACAACUAGAACACUAUACUAACUUAAAGCUUAAACAUUUGAACUUUGAAGCUUACUCAGGGAAAGAAUGUUAAUGCCAAUACUUAAUCACAACUAGAAAACAGUAAUUACUAAACCAUUUGACAUAGUAGAUGCUAAACAAAAGAAAACAGGUACUGAAAAAUCCAUUCCCACUUAAACAAUGUUAACACUUCAACUUGCCAUUUCAGGGGGUGUGAAAAUACCUGGAUAUAGCCAAAACAACAAACAAACUUCAGCAAAAAAGAUAGUGAGAUCAGCAGAGCUUAACAGCAGUAGUUAGUAGCAAAACAACCAGUUUAUUCCACGUUUAGAACCCAUGAACCAGCAAAGUAUUGAAGCUCCCUUUUUAAAACCCAGAAAAAUGAAAAUCAGCUCCUCAACAGAAUAUAUUCGAGUUUUUUUAGUGUUUUCCAGCUCUAAAAGUUCUAUCUCCGUCCCGCCUUAGUGAAAGAAAAUGGUGCUCUUUAUAGGCCUCCAAGGGGCCAUGUGCUGGAUAACCAACAAGGGAAAUAUUCCCUUCCAGCCUGAAAAUAAGGCAUUUUUUUAACCACCUGGGACAACUGGAUGUCCCCUAUUGGUUCAGCAUUUUUGUGCAAACAAAAUGAGGCCAGCUGCCCCUGUUCUAGAGCUUUCCAAAUAGAAAUUAUCUGGAAAUACUUGUUAUUAUUUCAUAACUUAAACCCCUAAGUUUUCAAUUGUUCAACUAAAACCAUAGGAGUUUAUAACAAUUUACAAACUAAGGCAAAGAUCACAAAGCAGAUAGAUGUGAUUGAAACAAAUCAAACAAUUAACACAUACUGAAAGGGUGAAAAUCCAGACCCUUAAAACAAAUCAGAAGAAUUCAACUUCAUGAUGAACUUUCAAAAUCUAAUUUUAACGGCCAGUGACGGACUUAACUACAAUUAAAAGAAGAAUGGACAUGGAGCAUUUACAACAUUGAAUCACAAAACAAAAGGAAACCGUAAAAUCUAAAAUCAUGCAAUUAGAAACACAGAUUAUAACAAAAUAAGAAUAACAAAAAAUCAUGAUAGCAUAUGACCUACACAAAACAGAAACCUCACCUAAUCUAAAAUCAAAUAGACAGAAAAAUCAAACCAUUUGAGCGAGUGACUACUAAUGGCCAAUAACCUAAAAUAACAGACCAGCCGAUAAUAAUAAUAAAUAAAAAACAAAAAAAUAUCAGAAAACAAGCAAACAAAGCAAAAAUCAAAGAAGAAAAAAAAAGGAGGUGAUGACUAACCGGACAAAGCUUGGGGGAAUGAUUGAAUCCAAAAAAAUGACCAAAAGGGUGAAGGAACAGUGUCUGUCCAAGCAAUUGUAGCUCUUAAAAUCGAACCAAAACUCAUAUUAACCAAAGGCUCUCAACGAGAACGCUUGGCUAACACAAAUCUUGAGUCGUAUUGAAUUCUGGAAGCCGAAGAGUCGGACUUAAAACAACUAAAGUUUUUUUUUAAUUUUUGGAUCCAAAAUUCGGGGAGUUUGAGGGUGAUUUUGGGGGAAUUAAUGAUGGAUUUGGGAAGAGGAGGGGGCAAGGGUUGCCUAGUAUCAAUUUGUGAAGGUUUGAAGGGAUUGGGGUUUUGGAACUCUGAUCUUUAGAUCUAAGAUUCGAGACUCUUGGCAAGGAUUUGAGGGAGAUGGAUUGGAGAUUUGGAACGGGAAGGGGAGGGAGAUCACAAGUUGUUAUUGUGGGGUGGUUUGGAGACCGGCCGCCGCCGUGGGCAAUUUCCGGCGGGUGGUUGAUGGCGGAGACGGUAAGGAUAUUGGGGCGGCUAGGGUUUCUCUUGGUUUUAGGGUUAAAGAUGGACUGGGGGGG